AGCUGGGAUUAUAGAUAAAUGAGGAGUUGUCUCUGGUACAGGAACUAAACCAGCUCUGGGAUCCCUAAUGGCUGGGCUGGCCUGGUUGCUUCAGCUCUGGAUUCAAACUGGCCAAGGAUACAGGAGCCCAGGGGUGAGAAUGGUAAGAUCCUGCUUCCAGCUGCCUGCCAGAACCAUUGACUUAAAUGUGUAUAAUAACAGGAGCUAACAUUUAAUCAUCCUAA
This 224-nucleotide long non-coding RNA is filed under the name Homo sapiens (human). RNAcentral's name for it is "non-protein coding lnc-MPRIP-2:1". Lineage: Eukaryota; Metazoa; Chordata; Mammalia; Primates; Hominidae. The record is from RNAcentral.